This is a long non-coding RNA of Haplochromis burtoni (Burton's mouthbrooder), 5191 nucleotides long. RefSeq lists it as uncharacterized. The transcript has 2 exons. The record is from RefSeq and is a predicted model, not a curated record. Lineage: Eukaryota; Metazoa; Chordata; Actinopteri; Cichliformes; Cichlidae.
AAACAUCAACAACCAGGAAGCAGCUUCACCUCUGAUCACACACACACUCAACUCUACUCACUCACCUGGAGGAUCAACAUGCAAGUGGAUGAUGCUGAUGGGGUCACCACUCAGAUUUGCUCUUUUUCUACGAUUAUUUCCUGUCUUUACACGACACUCGUAUGUUCCAGUGUCAUUAAUCGUCACAUUCUUCAGAAUCACAGACACGUCUCCAUCCUUCAUCUGUCUGUCCUGCAGAUCCACCUGGUUCUUAAAAGAUGGAUGCUGGUUAAAGUGCCCGUCCCGGUACAAAAGCACAUAUUCAUCCCCCAGGUCAGCUCUGCUCCACUCUACAGCUAUGAUGUUGUUGUUUGGAGCUCGACAUGGCAAAAUGAUGUUCUGUCCAGACUCAGCUGUGAUGAUUUUCUGGUCUGAAAGAGGAAACAACACAGAGCAGAUAUUUCUAUGAUAUAUUUCUGGAGAUUUGGGGAGAUUUUCAUACAGCUGUUAGAAAAGAGCCAAUCAAUCAGAAGUAGGAAUUAUGAGCCAAUUAUGGUGGUGCGUUAAUGCACAGUGGACGUUUGGGACAAUCUCAAUUACUGGUUAUUGUUGGGUCUGUGUUUCCACAAGCCUCGCUAAUUCUAGAGACUUAUUCAUCAUGAAGAAAACAAGACAGUCGAUCGAUCGAUUAUUUGCGCAAGGGAGGCCUCGUCUGUGUCCACCACGAAAAUGACCUCCAGAUCUGACCUCCUCCUGCUGCCUUUUAUUGAGAGACAGUUCACACAAAACACGUCAGAACAAAGCCACGCCCAGACAAGGCAUUGUAUGUAUAUGUGUGAACUUCUGUAUCUAAGUAAGAAUGUGUGUGUGUGUGUGUGUGUCAGACCUCCUGCUGACCAAAGGUCUAAACGCAGGAAGCUUACAUCAAAAGCACAAGGAUGUGUCUGUGAUAAAAGACUACAGCCCCCCACCUAGAACCUCGAGAAUCUGGGGGGAAGGACAGUGGAAUUUCUUUCAUCAGAGUUAAAACAAUGUACAAAUGGUAAACAUAAAAAUGACAAACAUUUAACAAUUCACUCUAACAGUUAUGGUAAUAAAGAUGUCGUCGAGUACUUAUUGGAGGAGCAAACAAGGAGGAACCGCUUACAUGUCAACUUGUCACACAAGAUUCAAGUGUAACAUUCUUAAUCCUUCUGGUAAAAAAAAAAUCUCAUUGAGAUUAAAAAUUGCAUUUCAAAGAGAGACCUUCAUGAUCAAAAUAAAAAUAAUGAAAAAUAAUAAAAUGUACAUAAAAAUCUAUUAGGUUUUAAUGAAUGAAACGUGUAGAAAAACACAAAAGAUCAACAUGUAAAAUAAAUAAAAUAAAACAAAAGCCUUACGAUAAAGAUGAGACUGAAGUAGUGAUGCAAACGAAGACAAGUUGCACAGUUGAGCUCUAAGAGCAAACGUUCGAUCGCUGUGCGUCUUUACGCGUGAGGAACAGUGAACAGGUUUCUGUCUGCAGGAUCUGGGGAUAGACGCGGUGGCUGUUAAGGGAACAGCAGCUCAGGUACAAUAUUCUGGAGCCAGACCAUGAAGGACUUUAAAAGUGAUAAAUAAAACCUUAAAGUCAGACUGCCUUCUUUAAGUUACCUCAGCAUUAUUGAGAGAUAUUACUUUGUUUCGAUCAGUCAGGUAUAAGUUCAGGUCUGAGGCUCGGCUGAUGUCAGAGCUCACUUUCAGCAGCGCAAACCAGGACGCAGACGCACAGCACGCCCCGGAAAAGUGACGCAGGUUUAAGAUGUUUCAUUCCUGCUAACAGUGAACCAGAAGAACCGUCUACUUCAUGCCUUUUCAUCCACAUUUAGUCACGAAAUCCCGAAUAACGUUGAGGAAAGCCUUAUUUUAAGCUUUGGCGUGGGUGGCUUCAGCUUCUGACAGUAAGCUGAAAACUCUUUUGCAUUUUUCAUAUAAGAUUUUAGCAUUUUAAAUACUGGUUUUAAUGUGAUUCAACUCAUAUUUGGCUUUCUGUGGGUUCACACCGCAGACAUAAACACGAAUCUCACAUUUUCUUUUGUUUUUUUGUUUAUUUCUUUGGGGUUUUUUUGUUUUUCUCGAGACAAAUUUCCUUCCUUUUUUUUUCCAGUGAUGACGCUUUUUAAAUCUGACUCGUCUUAUAUACGGGCUGACUCGUGUCCGUACAUAAACUAAAUUUCACCUUUAAACGGGGGGAAAAUCCGCAAUUUGGGGUUGAAGGGCUUGGUGGAGCCGUUUACAUCACGCGCAACCGUUCACAUUUUGACCCGAUUUUUUUGCAUUACUUUACAGAAAAUGAAAAAUAAUACAACUGAGAAGUGAAAAUUAAAUCAUAACUGACAUUUUACGUCUUACGUUAAGACAAAAAACAAACCAACCAACAUGAAAACCCAAAGUUUGAAAAAGGUUUGCGUUCAUCAGCGAUACUCUGGUGCAGUGUUGAGUGGUUGAGUGAUGUGGAGCUGUGCGCAUCGUUGCUCACAGUGUGAAGAAACGCAGAGCUCACCUUCAGCAGCGCAAAUCAGGACGCAGGCGCAGAGCACGGCCCAGUACAAUGAAGCGGCUGUAAAUGUUUCCAUUGUGGCUGAAAGCAGAUGAGGAGAGGUGUCGCCUCCAUGCGUUUUACCAACCAAAUUUCGAUCAACGUUACAGAGUCGGCAAAUUCUCGGCUUUGACUUCGGAGUGGAAAUAAUGGUUUGUCUGUGAGGGUACGCUGAAAAGUACUAAGUACUGAUUCAUGUACUUGCUAUAAAUAUUUAUUUUAGUAUAAAUGACGUUCAGAAGUUUGAACUUUUAAAAGUUAAUUUAAAAGAAAUAAAUGCAAAAUGAUUGAAACGUUUCUGCAAAACACAAAAACGAUAAAAAACGAAAUGUGAAAAUCGUCACUUCAUCCUUCUGCAUUUUUUUUUCUUGAAUUCACAGAUUCUUUGUUUGGAUGGGAGGUUGAUUAUUUUAUAUUAGUCACAUUUUUCAAUGGUAAAGUGAAUGUAUUUGAGGAAUACAUCCUAAAGAGAUUUGUAUUUGGGAUAACUUGAAAUGCAGCUGGGGUAGACUUCAUCUCCCUGUGAACCUGAGCUGGACGUGCAGAAGCAAAUGAAGAGGGGACUUGAAAUAUCUCUUCAGUAAUUUAUGUGAAUAUGAGGAGUACCUGAGCCACAGUUAGUUUCUGUUGUACAGACGUGAUUAUAAAAGCUGUUGUUCUGCUCUGUGUUCCCUCUGGACUCCUGUUGAAUCAUCAAACAGCACACAGCUCACCCUCCUGAGCUUUGCUCCAAGCAACCGACAGUGGAAACUAGAGGGAUCACUGAUCCUCCUCCUUAACCACAGUGCACUUUAUGAAAGCAGUCUUAAAUGUCUGUUUGAUAAGCUUUUAUCAAUCAGGGACAAUCAGACUCAUUGGUUCUGUGUUCACUUUUAAAUCACAAAGAUUAAACAAAAUAUAAGCUCUUUGCUGUUAUUGUUAACCUGUUAUUGUGUGCCUGGGAAUCAAAGAUGUGAUCUGGCUCUAAUUGGCUGCUCUUGGCCUUUGGCUGUCAUUAGAGGCACCAAAAUGAAGCUGCUGUUACAGAUUUCAGCUGUUACACUUCUUCCUGCGAUCUGUCACUAAGUCAUUGUUGAGUCAGUUUAACUAACUUUUGCAGGAUGUCACAGGUUGUUUUUAAGUGUUUCAAAAAUACUUUGUUUUUCUUUUUGUUCUCUCAUUUUUAAAACUUGUAUUUUUUUGAUUUUGAAAUCCAAAAAUCACAUAUUGUGGUAAUGCAGAGUUAGAGGUAGAGGUAGAGGACUGGCUGAGGUGACCUAAUUCUCUGCUUCUAAAUUCAGACAAAACUGAGGUUAUUGUAGUCUGUGCUAAAACUCAGAUACAUACUUUUUAUGGCAUUAACUUGGCAUGUAGUAAACGAGUAUGGAGGUGCAAUCACAUUUCCGGUCCUGCAUAGGUCAAACACAGCUAGAUAUAAAAGAAAAAAGAAGCAGUUUCCUGCUCGUCAGUGUGUUACACAACUAAACCUAUGACCACACUGUUCAUCGCUUUUCUCUGCAGUCUUGUUAAAUGUUAAAUGUUAAACUCAAACUGCUGACCUCAUUGUUUACCUCCCCAUGACUCUCUUGCUUUAACCUCUAUUAAAAAAAUUCUGAUCUUCCGCUUACAGGAAGUGACUUCAUCAUCUCCAUGGCAGCAGAACCACCCAAGCACACUGAGCAGAGAUUGGCUGAGGGGUGCUGUAACUGCUCAGCAUCACUUUUGAGCUGCACAGACUCAGAGUCACAGAGUUCAUGUUCAGUCAGCUGGGUGUAACUUGAGCUUUAUUCACUGAAUUUAAAUGAAUCCUGCCUUGUUCCAUUUUAGUGAAUUCUGAAAGGAAUACAGCUCUGAGCUUCAAGGUCUCUUAAUCUUUCCUUCUUGGAAACAUGAACUUCCAGUUAGUAUCUGCAGUGAAGUGUAGUGAUGGAUUAUCUUUAGUUUAGAAGAGCACAUAAUGUCGAAGCCUCCACAGGAACAGAGGGAGAGACUUUAGGGAUCACACUGGAACUGUUUUUACAGCAUCAACCAAGAAGAUCAAACUUUUCUGCUACAGAAACUGUUUAGUUUUAAUCCUUCAAACAUUUCACAUUUGCUAACAUGGAUUUUUUUUUCUGUAUUAAGUUAAAGUUAGUAAUGGUCUAUAAAUCAUCACAGUACAGUUGGUCUAUUUUCCACCUCGUGGGUAACAAACGCAAACACCUGUGUGGUCGUUCAGGUUCAAGUUUCUGAUCCUCAAUCUUAGUGUCAUGUGCCUGCCUAGUCAGCCCAUCAUGGCAACAAAUGUUUUGGUUUUGUCUCUCUCUCCUCUCUCUUGCUCCUGUCACUCUGCCUGCUCAGACUGAGGUCCCGCCCUUGCCUCACGCACCUGCAGCUGAUCACCGGUGAUUCCUCACUAUUGUUUGCUGGCUCUUCAUAAGGCAGGGGCGCGGGCUACAGGUCGCUGGAAUAUUGAGUAACUCAAACUUCCCUGAUCCCUCUCAUACCCUCACCCCUGAGCGUGAGUAUGGCUCAUUGCAUGGAGUUUUGUGUGGGAGGGAUACCCUGUGAAGAGCGAGAGGAGUGGAGCAUGUGUGAAGAUCCUGUUGCUCCGUGACCCUGUGGACCCUUGGAACUUUUUCCCCCACGUGUAUCUAGUGCACCCAGUGUGGAUUAAUAAAAGACUGUUUAAUUGUA